RNAcentral lists this ribosomal RNA (253 nucleotides) under uncultured bacterium. RNAcentral's name for it is "partial 16S ribosomal RNA". It matches the Rfam family "Bacterial small subunit ribosomal RNA", at positions 524 to 776 of the family's 1533-position model. The record is from RNAcentral.
UACGGGGGGGGCAAGCGUUGUCCGGAAUCAUUGGGCGUAAAGCGCGUGUAGGCGGUUCGGUAAGUCCGCUGUGAAAGUCGGGGGCUCAACCCUCGGAUGCCGGUGGAUACUGUCGGGCUAGAGUUCGGAAGAGGCAAGUGGAAUUCCUGGUGUAGCGGUGGAAUGCGCAGAUAUCAGGAGGAACACCGAUAGCGAAGGCAGCUUGCUGGGACGACACUGACGCUGAGGCGCGAAAGCGUGGGGAGCGAACAGG